Molecule: ribosomal RNA, 465 nt
Filed under: uncultured Klebsiella sp.
Lineage: Bacteria; Pseudomonadati; Pseudomonadota; Gammaproteobacteria; Enterobacterales; Enterobacteriaceae
Description: bacterial SSU rRNA
Rfam family: Bacterial small subunit ribosomal RNA
Source: RNAcentral
CCUACGGGUGGCUGCAGUGGGGAAUAUUGCACAAUGGGCGCAAGCCUGAUGCAGCCAUGCCGCGUGUGUGAAGAAGGCCUUCGGGUUGUAAAGCACUUUCAGCGGGGAGGAAGGCGGUGAGGUUAAUAACCUCAUCGAUUGACGUUACCCGCAGAAGAAGCACCGGCUAACUCCGUGCCAGCGGCCGCGGUAAUACGGAGGGUGCAAGCGUUAAUCGGAAUUACUGGGCGUAAAGCGCACGCAGGCGGUCUGUCAAGUCGGAUGUGAAAUCCCCGGGCUCAACCUGGGAACUGCAUUCGAAACUGGCAGGCUAGAGUCUUGUAGAGGGGGGUAGAAUUCCAGGUGUAGCGGUGAAAUGCGUAGAGAUCUGGAGGAAUACCGGUGGCGAAGGCGGCCCCCUGGACAAAGACUGACGCUCAGGUGCGAAAGCGUGGGGAGCAAACAGGAUUAGAUACCCGUGUAGUC